AUUGAACGCUGGCGGCAGGCCUAACACAUGCAAGUCGAACGGUAGCACAGAGAGCUUGCUCUCGGGUGACGAGUGGCGGACGGGUGAGUAAUGUCUGGGAAACUGCCCGAUGGCGGGGGAUAACUACUGGAAACGGUAGCUAAUACUGCAUAACGUCGCAUGACCGAAGUGGGGGACAUUCGGGCCCCACACCAUCGGAUGUGCCCAGAUGGGAUUAGCUAGUAGGUGGGGUAAUGGCUCACCUAGGCGACGAUCCCUUGCUGGUCGGAGAGGAUGACCAGCCAACCUGGAACUGAGACACGGUCCAGACUCCUACGGGAGGCAGCAGUGGUGAAUAUUGCACAAUGGGCGCAAGCCUGAUGCAGCCAUGCCGCGUGUAUGAAGAAGGCCUUCGGGUUGUAAAGUACUUUCAGCGGGGAGGAAGGCGGUGGAGUUAAUAACUUCACCGAUUGACGUUACCCGCAGAAGAAGCACCGGCUAACUCCGUGCCAGCAGCCGCCGCGG
This 504-nucleotide ribosomal RNA is filed under the name uncultured bacterium. RNAcentral describes it as "partial 16S ribosomal RNA". It matches the Rfam family "Bacterial small subunit ribosomal RNA", at positions 30 to 523 of the family's 1533-position model. The record is from RNAcentral.